CCUACGGGAGGCAGCAGUUGGGAAUAUUGCGCAAUGGGCGAAAGCCUGACGCAGCAACGCCGCGUGUGCGAUGAAGGUCUUCGGAUCGUAAAGCACUUUCGGCCGGGACGCUGUACCGGAAGAAGAAGCACCGGCUAACUCUGUGCCAGCAGCCGCGGUAAUACAGAGGGUGCAAGCGUUGUUCGGAAUUAUUGGGCGUAAAGCGCGUGUAGGCGGCCUUGUAAGUCGAAUGUGAAAGCCCUCGGCUUAACCGAGGAAGUGCAUUCGAUACUGCAGGGCUUGAGUACCGGAGAGGAAGGUGGAACACCCGGUGUAGAGGUGAAAUUCGUAGAUAUCGGGUAGAACACCAGUGGCGAAGGCGACCUUCUGGACGGAACUGACGCUGAGACGCGAAAGCGUGGGGAGCAAACAGGAUUAGAUACCCUUGUAGUC
This 432-nucleotide ribosomal RNA is filed under the name uncultured bacterium. RNAcentral describes it as "partial 16S ribosomal RNA". It matches the Rfam family "Bacterial small subunit ribosomal RNA", at positions 338 to 795 of the family's 1533-position model. The record is from RNAcentral.